AUGGACACCGUCCACCGACGACCACCCAGGUCAUGUUGCCGUGACCUGCCUCCUCUGCAUCGCACUGGCGUGCCGUUGCCCUGCUUCUGCGUGCGAGCAUGCGAGGACGACGACCAACGCCAAGUCCUGCUUCUCCCGUUGACCGCUGUGCUAGGUCUAGCCGUGCCAAGCCCAGCUGGCCUGCCUUGGCCUCUCCAUCGACCCGGGCUUGGCCUGUGGUGUGAGAUUGCUGAGUCCUCUGACUCACGGAUACUACCAAAACAGAUGCAGCUGCCGAUGAUACCAGUGCAGCUGACGCAAUCGAGCUCAAGUGGGAGCUCAAUGAAGAUCUUGGUCAUUGUUAUGUGUCUUUUCCGGUUGAUCAGUAGUGGUGCCUAG
RNAcentral lists this ribosomal RNA (378 nucleotides) under Triticum aestivum (bread wheat). RNAcentral's name for it is "partial small subunit ribosomal RNA". Lineage: Eukaryota; Viridiplantae; Streptophyta; Magnoliopsida; Poales; Poaceae. The record is from RNAcentral.